CAGCCGCCGCGGUAAUACGUAGGUGGCAAGCGUUGUCCGGAAUUAUUGGGCGUAAAGGGCUCGCAGGCGGUUUCUUAAGUCUGAUGUGAAAGCCCCCGGCUCAACCGGGGAGGGUCAUUGGAAGCUGGGAAACUUGAGUGCAGAAGAGGAGAGUGGAAUUCCACGUGUAGCGGUGAAAUGCGUAGAGAUGUGGAGGAACACCAGUGGCGAAGGCGACUCUCUGGUCUGUAACUGACGCUGAGGAGCGAAAGCGUGGGGAGCGAACAGGAUUAGAGACCCCUGUAGUCCCUGUCUCUUAUAC
Molecule: ribosomal RNA, 301 nt
Filed under: uncultured bacterium
Lineage: Bacteria
Description: partial 16S ribosomal RNA
Rfam family: Bacterial small subunit ribosomal RNA
Source: RNAcentral